Molecule: ribosomal RNA, 541 nt
Filed under: uncultured archaeon
Lineage: Archaea
Description: bacterial SSU rRNA
Rfam family: Bacterial small subunit ribosomal RNA
Source: RNAcentral
CAGCCGCCGCGGUGAUACGUAGGGUGCGAGCGUUGUCCGGAUUUAUUGGGCGUAAAGAGCUCGUAGGUGGUUUGUUGCGUCGGAAGUGAAAACACGGGGCUUAACUUCGUGCUUGCUUUCGAUACGGGCAGACUUGAGGAAGGUAGGGGAGAACGGAAUUCCUGGUGGAGCGGUGGAAUGCGCAGAUAUCAGGAGGAACACCGGUGGCGAAGGCGGUUCUCUGGACCUUUCCUGACGCUGAGGAGCGAAAGCGUGGGGAGCAAACAGGCUUAGAUACCCUGGUAGUCCACGCCGUAAACGGUGGGCACUAGGUGUGGGGGACUUCCACGUUCUCCGUGCCGUAGCUAACGCAUUAAGUGCCCCGCCUGGGGAGUACGGCCGCAAGGCUAAAACUCAAAGGAAUUGACGGGGGCCCGCACAAGCGGCGGAGCAUGCGGAUUAAUUCGAUGCAACGCGAAGAACCUUACCUGGGUUUGACAUAUGCCGGUAGCAGCCAGAGAUGGUUGUGCCUUUUGGGCCGGUUUACAGGAGGUGCAUGGCC